RNAcentral lists this ribosomal RNA (434 nucleotides) under uncultured Lachnospiraceae bacterium. RNAcentral's name for it is "bacterial SSU rRNA". It matches the Rfam family "Bacterial small subunit ribosomal RNA", at positions 341 to 792 of the family's 1533-position model. Lineage: Bacteria; Bacillati; Bacillota; Clostridia; Lachnospirales; Lachnospiraceae. The record is from RNAcentral.
ACGGAAGGCAGCAGUGGGGAAUAUUGCACAAUGGGGGAAACCCUGAUGCAGCAACGCCGCGUGAGUGAAGAAGUAUUUCGGUAUGUAAAGCUCUAUCAGCAGGGAAGAUAAUGACGGUACCUGACUAAGAAGCUCCGGCUAAAUACGUGCCAGCAGCCGCGGUAAUACGUAUGGAGCAAGCGUUAUCCGGAUUUACUGGGUGUAAAGGGUGCGUAGGUGGCAGUGCAAGUCAGAUGUGAAAGGCCGGGGCUCAACCCCGGAGCUGCAUUUGAAACUGCUCGGCUAGAGUACAGGAGAGGCAGGCGGAAUUCCUAGUGUAGCGGUGAAAUGCGUAGAUAUUAGGAGGAACACCAGUGGCGAAGGCGGCCUGCUGGACUGUUACUGACACUGAGGCACGAAAGCGUGGGGAGCAAACAGGAUUAGAUACCCUGGUA